This 301-nucleotide ribosomal RNA is filed under the name uncultured bacterium. Its description in RNAcentral is "partial 16S ribosomal RNA". It matches the Rfam family "Bacterial small subunit ribosomal RNA", at positions 509 to 808 of the family's 1533-position model. The record is from RNAcentral.
CAGUCGCCGCGGUAAUACAGAGGAUGCAAGCGUUAUCCGGAAUGAUUGGGCGUAAAGCGUCUGUAGGUGGCUUUUCAAGUCCGCCGUCAAAUCCCAGGGCUCAACCCCGUGACGCACUGGAAACUGGGAGACUUGAGUGCAGAAGAGGAGAGCGGAAUUCCACGUGUAGCGGUGAAAUGCGUAGAGAUGUGGAGGAACACCAGUGGCGGAGGCGGCUCUCUGGACUGUAACUGACGCUGAGGCGCGAAAGCGUGGGGAGCAAACAGGAUUAGAUACCCCAGUAGUCCCUGUCUCUUAUACA